This 72-nucleotide transfer RNA is filed under the name Dehalococcoidia bacterium. Its description in RNAcentral is "tRNA-Cys". The record is from RNAcentral. Lineage: Bacteria; Bacillati; Chloroflexota; Dehalococcoidia.
GGGGCGGUGGGAUGGGUUCCCAGGCCGGCCUUUACACCCUGGCCCUAGAGGGUUCGAAUCCCUCCCGCUCCA